AGAGCGAACGCUGGCGGCAGGCUUAACACAUGCAAGUCGAGCGGGCGUAGCAAUACGUCAGCGGCAGACGGGUGAGUAACGCGUGGGAACAUACCUCUUGGUUCGGAACAACACAGGGAAACUUGUGCUAAUACCGGAUAAGCCCUUACGGGGAAAGAUUUAUCGCCGAAAGAUUGGCCCGCGUCUGAUUAGCUAGUUGGUGAGGUAACGGCUCACCAAGGCGACGAUCAGUAGCUGGUCUGAGAGGAUGAUCAGCCACAUUGGGACUGAGACACGGCCCAAACUCCUACGGGAGGCAGCAGUGGGAAUAUUGGACAAUGGGCGCAAGCCUGAUCCAGCCAUGCCGCGUGAGUGAUGAAGGCCCUAGGGUUGUAAAGCUCUUUUGUGCGGGAAGAUAAUGACGGUACCGCAAGAAUAAGCCCGGCUAACUUCGUGCCAGCAGCCGC
This 446-nucleotide ribosomal RNA is filed under the name uncultured bacterium. Its description in RNAcentral is "SSU rRNA". It matches the Rfam family "Bacterial small subunit ribosomal RNA", at positions 26 to 518 of the family's 1533-position model. The record is from RNAcentral.